RNAcentral lists this ribosomal RNA (421 nucleotides) under uncultured bacterium. RNAcentral describes it as "bacterial SSU rRNA". It matches the Rfam family "Bacterial small subunit ribosomal RNA", at positions 119 to 518 of the family's 1533-position model. The record is from RNAcentral.
GGAUAAUCUGCCCUUAUGAUCGGGAGUAACAAGUUGGAAACGGCUGCUAAUACCGGAUACGACUCAAAAUGAACUUUUUGAGGAAAGAUGGCCUCUGCUUGCAUGCUAUCACGUAAGGAUGAGUCCGCGUCCCAUUAGCUUAGUGGCGGGUAACGGCCCACCAAGGCAACGAUGGGUAGCCGAUUUGAGAGGAUGAUCGGCCACACUGGAACUGAAACACGGUCCAAGACUCCUACGGGAGGCAGCAGUGGGAAUAUUGCGCAAUGGGCGAAAGCCUGACGACAGCGACGCCGCGUGAGGGAUGUAAAGGGUUUCGGAUCGUAAACCUCUGUCAGAAGGGAAGAAACUACGUUGUGCUAAUCAGCAGCGUACUGACGGUACCUUCAAAGGAAGCACCGGCUAACUCCGUGCCAGCAGCUGC